Molecule: transfer RNA, 75 nt
Filed under: Caulobacter phage CcrPW
Lineage: Duplodnaviria; Heunggongvirae; Uroviricota; Caudoviricetes; Jeanschmidtviridae
Description: tRNA-Asp
Rfam family: tRNA
About the family: Transfer RNA (tRNA) molecules are approximately 80 nucleotides in length. Their secondary structure includes four short double-helical elements and three loops (D, anti-codon, and T loops).
Source: RNAcentral
GGUGCGUUCGUAUAUCGGCUAAUACACCGGACUGUCGAUCCGGGAAGACGGGUUCGACUCCCGUACGCACCGCCA